This 463-nucleotide ribosomal RNA is filed under the name uncultured bacterium. Its description in RNAcentral is "SSU rRNA". It matches the Rfam family "Bacterial small subunit ribosomal RNA", at positions 26 to 518 of the family's 1533-position model. The record is from RNAcentral.
AGCCUGAACGCUGGCGGCGUGGCUAAGACAUGCAAGUCGUACGGUGUAGCAAUACACAGUGGCGAACGGGUGAGUAAUGAAUCGCUAAUGUGCCCCGGACUCUGGGAUAGCCAUCCGAAAGGGUGGGUAAUACCAGAUGACAUAACCUUUCCGCAUGGUGAGGUUCUCAAAGGUCCGCCGGUCUGGGAGCAGGCGAUUUUGUAUCAGCUAGUUGGUGAGGUAACGGCUCACCAAGACGACGACGCAUAGCCGGACUGAGAGGUUGGCCGGCCACAUUGGGACUGAGACACUGCCCAGACUCCUACGGGGGGCUGCAGUAACGAAUCUUCCGCAAUGCACGAAAGUGUGACGGAGCGACGCCGCGUGUGGGACGAAGUUCUUCGGAAUGUAAACCACUGUCAGGGGUAAGAAAGUUCUGAUCUACCCCAGAGGAAGGCACGGCUAACUCUGUGCCAGCAGCCGC